Molecule: ribosomal RNA, 301 nt
Filed under: uncultured bacterium
Lineage: Bacteria
Description: partial 16S ribosomal RNA
Rfam family: Bacterial small subunit ribosomal RNA
Source: RNAcentral
CAGCAGCCGCGGGAAUACGGAGGGAGCUAGCGUUGUUCGGAAUUACUGAGCGUAAAGCGCGCGUAGGCGGUUACUCAAGUCAGAGGUGAAAGCCCGGGGCUCAACCCCGGAACUGCCUUUGAAACUAGGUGACUAGAAUCUUGGAGAGGUCAGUGGAAUUCCGAGUGUAGAGGUGAAAUUCGUAGAUAUUCGGAAGAACACCAGUGGCGAAGGCGACUGACUGGACAAGUAUUGACGCUGAGGUGCGAAAGCGUGGGGAGCAAACAGGAUUAGAUACCCGCGUAGUCCCUGUCUCUUAUAU